AUUGAACGCUGGCGGCAUGCCUUACACAUGCAAGUCGAACGGCAGCACGGGUGCUUGCACCUGGUGGCGAGUGGCGAACGGGUGAGUAAUACAUCGGAACGUACCUUAUCGUGGGGGAUAACGCAGCGAAAGCUGUGCUAAUACCGCAUACGCCCUGAGGGGGAAAGCGGGGAUCGCAAGACCUCGCGCGAUUAGAGCGGCCGAUGCCUGAUUAGCUAGUUGGUGGGGUAAAAGCCCACCAAGGCGACGAUCAGUAGCUGGUCUGAGAGGACGAUCAGCCAAACUGGGACUGAGACACGGCCCAGACUCCUACGGGAGGCAGCAGUGGGGAAUUUUGGACAAUGGGGGCAACCCUGAUCCAGCAAUGCCGCGUGAGUGAAGAAGGCCUUCGGGUUGUAAAGCUCUUUUGUCAGGGAAGAAACACCGGCUCCAACACAGUCCGGGAAUGACGGUACCUGAAGAAUAAGCACCGGCUAACUACGUGCCAGCAGCCGCGGUAA
Molecule: ribosomal RNA, 500 nt
Filed under: uncultured bacterium
Lineage: Bacteria
Description: partial 16S ribosomal RNA
Rfam family: Bacterial small subunit ribosomal RNA
Source: RNAcentral